This 484-nucleotide ribosomal RNA is filed under the name uncultured bacterium. Its description in RNAcentral is "bacterial SSU rRNA". It matches the Rfam family "Bacterial small subunit ribosomal RNA", at positions 39 to 533 of the family's 1533-position model. The record is from RNAcentral.
GCCCUUCAGGCCUAACACAUGCAAGUCGAGCGGAGAACAUGAAGUGUUUACACGGAUUGUUCUUAGCGGCGGACGGGUGAGUAACACGUGGGUAACCUGCCUCAAAGUGGGGGAUAGCCUUUCGAAAGGAAGAUUAAUACCGCAUAAGCCUGCAGCACCGCAUGGUGCAGCAGGAAAAGGAGCAAUCCGCUUUGAGAUGGACCCGCGGCGCAUUAGCUAGUUGGUGAGGUAACGGCUCACCAAGGCCACGAUGCGUAGCCGACCUGAGAGGGUGAUCGGCCACAUUGGAACUGAGACACGGUCCAGACUCCUACGGGAGGCAGCAGUGGGGAAUAUUGCACAAUGGGCGAAAGCCUGAUGCAGCAACGCCGCGUGAGUGAUGAAGGCCUUCGGGUCGUAAAAUUCUGUCMUMGGGGACGAUAAUGACGGUACCCUAGGAGSAAGCCCCGGCUAACUACGUGCCAGCAGCCGCGGUAAUAAGGGC